UCCCUGGAGGACUAGUGGUUAGGCCAUGAUACUCUCACCGCUGUGACCCAGGUUCAAUUCCUGGCCAGGGGA
This 72-nucleotide transfer RNA is filed under the name Pangasianodon hypophthalmus (striped catfish). It matches the Rfam family "tRNA". From Rfam's summary of the family: Transfer RNA (tRNA) molecules are approximately 80 nucleotides in length. The record is from Rfam by way of RNAcentral. Lineage: Eukaryota; Metazoa; Chordata; Actinopteri; Siluriformes; Pangasiidae.